UGCAGGAGCACUACUGUGUGACUUGCGCGAUAAAUGAUGCCAUGGGGCUCUUUAGGAAUUUCGGUUUUCCUACCCACCAGCAGCACGUGGUCAAUUCCCCCUCAACAUCUCCAUGAAAGCCAAGGCGAGACCGGACCAGACGUGGCUGCUGUUGCCGAGUUUGGUUAAACAAACAGUUGCAGAGCAGCCUUUAUGACUGGCUCGUGCCACUUAACCAGGUUAAGAGAUUGUCAAGUAAAGCGGCCUCUCAAGCUAGUAGUCAGUCUUUAAGUAAAUUCUCCAUAAGGAUUGAUGACUUGUGUGGAUGAAUCCCCCUGUGCGCUGUUUGUCUGACUCUAGAAGACGGA
This 347-nucleotide unclassified non-coding RNA is filed under the name Hevea brasiliensis (rubber tree). The record is from RNAcentral. Lineage: Eukaryota; Viridiplantae; Streptophyta; Magnoliopsida; Malpighiales; Euphorbiaceae.